Molecule: transfer RNA, 89 nt
Filed under: Litorimonas cladophorae
Lineage: Bacteria; Pseudomonadati; Pseudomonadota; Alphaproteobacteria; Maricaulales; Robiginitomaculaceae
Description: tRNA-Ser
Rfam family: tRNA
About the family: Transfer RNA (tRNA) molecules are approximately 80 nucleotides in length. Their secondary structure includes four short double-helical elements and three loops (D, anti-codon, and T loops).
Source: RNAcentral
GGACGGGUGGCUGAGUGGUUGAAAGCGCUGGAUUCGAAAUCCAGUAUGGGUGCAAGCCCAUCGGGGGUUCGAAUCCCUUCCCGUCUUCC